AUGAACGCUAGCGACAGGCCUAACACAUGCAAGUCGAGGGGCAGCACAAGGAGCAAUCUGAGGUGGCGACCGGCGCACGGGUGAGUAACACGUAUGCAACCUGCCUGUAAGCGGGGAAUAACCCGUUGAAAGACGGACUAAUACCGCAUAAUACUAAAUUACUGCAUGGUAAUUUAUUUAAACAUUUAUGGCUUACAGAUGGGCAUGCGCAUGAUUAGCUAGUUGGAGAGGUAACGGCUCCCCAAGGCAACGAUCAUUAGGGGUCCUGAGAGGAAGGUCCCCCACACUGGUACUGAGACACGGACCAGACUCCUACGGGAGGCAGCAGUGAGGAAUAUUGGUCAAUGGACGAGAGUCUGAACCAGCCAAGUCGCGUGCAGGAAGAAUGUCCCUAUGGAUUGUAAACUGCUUUUGCAGGGGAAUAAAGUGCAUCACGUGUGAUGUUUUGUAUGUACUCUGCGAAUAAGGAUCGGCUAACUCCGUGCCAGCCGCCGC
RNAcentral lists this ribosomal RNA (495 nucleotides) under uncultured bacterium. RNAcentral describes it as "bacterial SSU rRNA". It matches the Rfam family "Bacterial small subunit ribosomal RNA", at positions 29 to 518 of the family's 1533-position model. The record is from RNAcentral.